GAUGAACGCUGGCGGCGUGCCUAAUACAUGCAAGUCGAGCGAACAGACGAGGAGCUUGCUCCUCUGACGUUAGCGGCGGACGGGUGAGUAACACGUGGAUAACCUACCUAUAAGACUGGGAUAACUUCGGGAAACCGGAGCUAAUACCGGAUAAUAUAUUGAACCGCAUGGUUCAAUAGUGAAAGACGGUUUUGCUGUCACUAAUAGAUGGAUCCGCGCCGCAUUAGCUAGUUGGUAAGGUAACGGCUUACCAAGGCAACGAUGCGUAGCCGACCUGAGAGGGUGAUCGGCCACACUGGAACUGAGACACGGUCCAGACUCCUACGGGAGGCAGCAGUAGGGAAUCUUCCGCAAUGGGCGAAAGCCUGACGGAGCAACGCCGCGUGAGUGAUGAAGGUCUUCGGAUCGUAAAACUCUGUUAUUAGGGAAGAACAAAUGUGUAAGUAACUAUGCACGUCUUGACGGUACCUAAUCAGAAAGCCACGGCUAGCUACGUG
Molecule: ribosomal RNA, 497 nt
Filed under: uncultured bacterium
Lineage: Bacteria
Description: partial 16S ribosomal RNA
Rfam family: Bacterial small subunit ribosomal RNA
Source: RNAcentral